This 497-nucleotide ribosomal RNA is filed under the name uncultured bacterium. Its description in RNAcentral is "bacterial SSU rRNA". It matches the Rfam family "Bacterial small subunit ribosomal RNA", at positions 10 to 507 of the family's 1533-position model. The record is from RNAcentral.
AGUUUGAUCAUGGCUCAGGAUGAACGCUAGCGGCAGGCUUAACACAUGCAAGUCGAAGGGUAGGUUACUUCGGUAACUGAGACCGGCGCACGGGUGCGUAACGCGUAUACAAUCUACCUUUUACAGAGGGAUAGCCCAGAGAAAUUUGGAUUAAUACCUCAUAGUAUUUUCGGAUCGCAUGAUUUGAUAACUAAAGUUCCAACGGUAAAAGAUGGGCAUGCGUCCUAUUAGCUAGAUGGUAAGGUAACGGCUUACCAUGGCUACGAUAGGUAGGGGGUCCUGAGAGGGAGAUCCCCCACACUGGUACUGAGACACGGACCAGACUCCUACGGGAGGCAGCAGUGAGGAAUAUUGGACAAUGGGCGCAAGCCUGAUCCAGCCAUGCCGCGUGCAGGAAGAAGCAUCUAUGGUGUGUAAACUGCUUUUGUACGGGAAGAAACACUCCUACGUGUAGGAGCUUGACGGUACCGUAAGAAUAAGGAUCGGCUAACUCCGUG